GCCCCUGUAGUUGAACGGAUACAACGGCCCCCUCCUAAGGGGCAGGUCUGGGUUCAAUUCCCGGCGGGGGCGCCA
This 75-nucleotide transfer RNA is filed under the name Pseudomonadota bacterium. RNAcentral describes it as "tRNA-Arg". It matches the Rfam family "tRNA". Rfam says of the family: Transfer RNA (tRNA) molecules are approximately 80 nucleotides in length. Their secondary structure includes four short double-helical elements and three loops (D, anti-codon, and T loops). Lineage: Bacteria; Pseudomonadati; Pseudomonadota. The record is from RNAcentral. RNAcentral also lists the same sequence under 3 other names.